AUUGAACGCUGGCUGCAGGCAUAACACAUGCAAGUCGAACGAGUGGAGUACGGGUGAGUAAUGACUGGGAAACUGCCUGAUGGAGGGGGAUAACUACUGGAAACGGUAGCUAAUACCGCAUACCAUCAGAUGGGCCCAGAGGGGAUUAGCUAGUUGGUUGGGGAACGGCUCACCAAGGCGACGAUCCCUAGCUGGUCUGAGAGGAUGACCAGCAACACGGGAACUGAGACACGGUCCAGACGCGUACGGGAGGCAGCAGUGGGGAAGAUUGCACAAUGGGCGCAAGCCUGAUGCAGCCAUGCCGCUUGUAUGAAGAAGGCCUUAGGGUUGUAAAGUACUUUCAGCGGGGAGGCGUUACCCGCAGAAGAAGCACCGGCUAACUCCGUGCCAGCAGCCGCGGUAAUUC
This 406-nucleotide ribosomal RNA is filed under the name uncultured bacterium. RNAcentral describes it as "partial 16S ribosomal RNA". It matches the Rfam family "Bacterial small subunit ribosomal RNA", at positions 30 to 526 of the family's 1533-position model. The record is from RNAcentral.